AAGCGAACGUAAGCAGAGAAAAAUGUCCCACUGAUGACGCGGGACGCCGGAGCGGAAGGGAGGGCCCACCAUGUCAGCGCCGCCGCCGCCGCCGUUUCUGUCCUAUUCUGCUCUUCCUGCCGAUCUGUGCGCCGCCUCUUCUUCAUCCCGUCCCUAGCAGCCGAUCCCAACUCCCGAUCUUCGGUUCGUUUGAGGUAUGACUCUGUAUUCGCCUGUUGGGGGUAUAAUCAAUUUGGGGGCUGGCUCCUUUUUUAAGCGUUUCUGAUUGAGAUGACGGAGGUGCAAAAUACUCCAGCAUAAUUGGUUCCUUGCUUAUGGAGUAUUUGUUAAUGUUGUAGUACUAUGUGAACAUCGAAUUCCAGGCUGUAACUUUUGCUGCAUCGGGCAAAUGGUUUUGAUUUGCUCGAUAGAACUGUCAGUUUAGGAACCACUAGGCGUCGUUACAUACUGUACGCUCGCAAGUUUCAUGGUAUUAUUAGUAAAGUGCUCCUUACAAAUUUAUUUUUAGUUUGGCAUGAGUAUUACUUCUAAUUCGUUGAUUUGUUCUAGGUUAAUUUGCUAUUUGUUUCAGAAUUUCCUACUCAUCCGUAGUGUUUUAGUUUAAUUUGGUUGCGCUUCUACAUUAGCUUAUUUGCAUGCUCAGCGAUUUAGAAGAAAAUAAACUCGGACACCUCUCUCUUCGGUGAGAUCUUAGUCUAACUUAACAUGGAAGUUAAGAUUUAAUAAGGUGUUUGGUUUGAGGAAAGGGCUAGUCCAUUAUCUACUUACUUCUCACUUUUUGUUUGGUUUGUAGAAUGGAAUGAUUUGAUCCAUCAUCAUCUUAUUCCUCAGAGUUAGUACUGAUAUAAAGAAUGAGUUCAUUUCAUCAAAUUUGAGGAAUGGAAUCAUAAUGCACCACCUCAUUUUGGAUGAAUUGAUCCAUCAAACCAAACACCUCCUAACUGUCAGCAUUGGUUACUGCGAUCAGGGUAAUCCUAAGGUUAUUUUUAAGCUAAUCCUAAGGUUAUUUUUAAGCUGGUCUCGGUCCCAUAGGGUGUAUAUAAAUAAAAAAGAUGAUUUCGAGAAUAAGGCUAAUUAUUCAACAUAUAAAUCUAUCUAACUGAUUAAUUAAGUGUUGAAAGAGUUUAAGGGACUCUCAAACCGGCUCCGGCUCCUGUAGGAGCCCUCCCAGAUGGUCUAAAAAAAGAUCUCUCAACAAAGAGCACUGAGUAAUCAGAGCUAUUAUUUUAUAGAGAGGAGUGAGCCAAAGGGGGGGGGGGGCUCCUAUCCUAGUGCCUCCUACCCCACUCUCCCAUCUUGCAUUUCUCUCACGCCAAAAUGAGCCGUUUUACUAGACGAUUUGUUAAGAAAACACUACCUCCUAUAUAGGAAUUGCUCUUCAAGAGAAGUCAAAGCGAAGUCAUUUUUAGUAGAGCCGGA
RNAcentral lists this long non-coding RNA (1419 nucleotides) under Zea mays. RNAcentral's name for it is "drought responsive lncRNA". Lineage: Eukaryota; Viridiplantae; Streptophyta; Magnoliopsida; Poales; Poaceae. The record is from RNAcentral.